GACGAACGCUGGCGGCGUGCUUAACACAUGCAAGUCGAACGGAAAGGCCCUGCUUUUGUGGGGUGCUCGAGUGGCGAACGGGUGAGUAACACGUGAGUAACCUGCCCUUUACUUUGGGAUAACGUCAGGAAACUGGGGCUAAUACCGGAUAGGAGCUCCUGCUGCAUGGUGUGGGUUGGAAAGUUUCGGCGGUUGGGGAUGGACUCGCGGCUUAUCAGCUUGUUGGUGGGGUAGUGGCUUACCAAGGCUUUGACGGGGAGCCGGCCUGAGAGGGGGACCGGCCACAUUGGGACUGAGAUACGGCCCAGAAUCCUAGGGGAGGCAGCAGUGGGGAAUAUUGCACAAUGGGCGGAAGCCUGAUGCAGCAACGCCGCGUGCGGGAUGACGGCCUUCGGGUUGUAAACCGCUUUCGCCUGUGACGAAGCGUGAGUGACGGUAAUGGGUAAAGAAGCACCGGCUAACUACGUG
RNAcentral lists this ribosomal RNA (468 nucleotides) under uncultured bacterium. Its description in RNAcentral is "partial 16S ribosomal RNA". It matches the Rfam family "Bacterial small subunit ribosomal RNA", at positions 28 to 507 of the family's 1533-position model. The record is from RNAcentral.